CCUACGGGUGACAGCAGUCGAGAAUCAUUCACAAUGGGGGAAACCCUGAUGGUGCGACGCCGCGUGUGGGAAGACGGUCCUCUGGAUUGUAAACCACUGUCCCCAGGGACGAAGAUGACGGUACCUGGGGAGGAAGCUCCGGCUAACUACGUGCCAGCAGCCGCGGUAAUACGUAGGGAGCGAGCGUUAUCCGGAUUUCUGGGGUUUAAAGGGUGCGUAGGCGGAUUGUUAAGUCAGCGGUAAAAUGUCCGGGCUCAACCCGGGCCGGCCGUUGAAACUGGGGAUCUUGAGUGGGCGAGAAGUAUGCGGAAUGCGUGGUGUAGCGGGGAAAUGCAUAGAUAUCACGGAGAACUCCGAUUGCGAAGGCAGCAUACCGGCGCCCGACUGACGCUGAGGCACGAAAGCGUGGGGAUCGAACAGGAGUAGAUACCCUGGUAGUC
This 440-nucleotide ribosomal RNA is filed under the name uncultured bacterium. RNAcentral's name for it is "partial 16S ribosomal RNA". It matches the Rfam family "Bacterial small subunit ribosomal RNA", at positions 338 to 795 of the family's 1533-position model. The record is from RNAcentral.